UUUUAAAGGAUCAAGUGCUGACUCCUUGUGAGGACCAGCAUGCAACAGUUUACAAAUGGCAGCCUCGCUGGCGAUGGGCACAGCCGGCUGUUUGUGUGGGUUGUUCUAGGGGGCCUUGGAGACAACA
This 127-nucleotide small nucleolar RNA is filed under the name Jaculus jaculus (lesser Egyptian jerboa). Its description in RNAcentral is "Small nucleolar RNA SNORA70 (ENSJJAG00000001526.1)". It matches the Rfam family "Small nucleolar RNA SNORA70". From Rfam's summary of the family: snoRNA U70 seems to be exclusive to mammals and is a member of the H/ACA class of snoRNA which contain H (ANANNA) and ACA box motifs. H/ACA box snoRNAs are involved in the conversion of uridines to pseudouridines (5-ribosyluracil) a constituent of structural RNAs (transfer, ribosomal, small nuclear, and small nucleolar). The record is from Rfam by way of RNAcentral. Lineage: Eukaryota; Metazoa; Chordata; Mammalia; Rodentia; Dipodidae.